AUUGAACGCUGGCGGAAUGCUUUACACAUGCAAGUCGAACGGCAGCACGGGGCAACCUGGUGGCGAGUGGCGAACGGGUGAGUAAUACAUCGGAACGUGCCCAAUCGUGGGGGAUAACGUAGCGAAAGUUACGCUAAUACCGCAUACGAUCUACGGAUGAAAGCGGGGGAGUCGCAAGACCUCGCGCGAAUGGAGCGGCCGAUGUCAGAUUAGGUAGUUGGUGGGGUAAAGGCUCACCAAGCCGACGAUCUGUAGCUGGUCUGAGAGGACGACCAGCCACACUGGGACUGAGACACGGCCCAGACUCCUACGGGAGGCAGCAGUGGGGAAUUUUGGACAAUGGGCGGAAGCCUGAUCCAGCCAUGCCGCGUGAGUGAAGAAGGCCU
Molecule: ribosomal RNA, 386 nt
Filed under: uncultured bacterium
Lineage: Bacteria
Description: bacterial SSU rRNA
Rfam family: Bacterial small subunit ribosomal RNA
Source: RNAcentral